CCUACGGGUGGCAGCAGUAGGGAAUCUUUCACAAUGGGCGAAAGCCUGAUGGAGCAACGCCGCGUGCAGGAUGAAGGCCUUCGGGUUGUAAACUGCUUUUAUAAGCGAGAAAUAUGAUGGUAACUUAUGAAUCAGGAUCGGCUACCUACGUGCCAGCAGCCGCGGUCAUACGUAGGAUCCGAGCAUUAUCCGGAGUGCCUGGGUGUAAAGAGUUGCGUAGGUGGCAUAAUAAGUAGCUAGUGAAAUCUGGUGGCUCAACCAUUCAGACUAUUAGCUAAACUGUUAAGCUCGAGACCGUUAGGGGUAACUGGAAUUUCUAGUGUAGGAGUGAAAUCCGUAGAUAUUAGAAGGAACACCAAUAGCGUAGGCAGGUUGCUGGGACGGUUCUGACACUAAGGCACGAAAGCGUAGGGAGCAAACGGGAUUAGAUACCCCUGUAGUC
RNAcentral lists this ribosomal RNA (442 nucleotides) under uncultured bacterium. RNAcentral's name for it is "partial 16S ribosomal RNA". It matches the Rfam family "Bacterial small subunit ribosomal RNA", at positions 338 to 795 of the family's 1533-position model. The record is from RNAcentral.